AGAAACUUAGGAUUAAUUUAAACCGGUGGCCUUCAAAGCCAUUAAAAAGAGACAAUCUCUUAGUUCCU
Molecule: transfer RNA, 68 nt
Filed under: Brookesia brygooi
Lineage: Eukaryota; Metazoa; Chordata; Lepidosauria; Squamata; Chamaeleonidae
Description: partial tRNA-Trp
Source: RNAcentral